Molecule: ribosomal RNA, 453 nt
Filed under: uncultured bacterium
Lineage: Bacteria
Description: bacterial SSU rRNA
Rfam family: Bacterial small subunit ribosomal RNA
Source: RNAcentral
UACGGAAGGCAGCAGUGGGGAAUAUUGCACAAUGGGCGCAAGCCUGAUGCAGCCAUGCCGCGUGUAUGAAAAAGGCCUUCGGGUUGUAAAGUACUUUCAGUCGUGAGGAAGGUGUUAAGGUUAAUAACCUUAGCAAUUGACGUUAGCGACAGAAGAAGCACCGGCUAACUCCGUGCCAGCAGCCGCGGUAAUACGGAGGGUGCGAGCGUUAAUCGGAAUUACUGGGCGUAAAGGGCACGCAGGCGGUUAAUUAAGUUGGAUGUGAAAUCCCCGGGCUUAACCUGGGAAUGGCAUUCAAGACUGGUUAGCUAGAGUCUUGUAGAGGGGGUAGAAUUCCAUGUGUAGCGGUGAAAUGCGUAGAGAUGUGGAGGAAUACCGGUGGCGAAGGCGGUCCCUGGACAAAGACUGACGCUCAUGUGCGAAAGCGUGGGGAGCAAACAGGGAUUAGAUACC